ACCGAGUUCAUUUCAUAAGUAAUUAGUGUGUUAUUUCCUCCUCCUACCACUAGGUGGUGUCUUUGUUUUUGGGGUUGGGCUUGACAUUUGGGCAGUCAUAUUGAAAUUCAUGGUAGUCAUGUGACACUUAUAGAAAGUCACCUUGAAUCCUUUGUUUCAGUCAGACCAGUAUUGGCACGAUAGUGUGAGCAGCAACAACAUCUUAAUCCAUCCUCUUUUGAAAUCACUUAUUGUAAUUCACUAAUAGAAGAAUCAUCU
Molecule: long non-coding RNA, 258 nt
Organism: Thalassophryne amazonica
Lineage: Eukaryota; Metazoa; Chordata; Actinopteri; Batrachoidiformes; Batrachoididae
Exons: 4
Source: RefSeq, a predicted model, not a curated record